GGAGAGAUGGCUUAACGGUUAAGAGCACUGGCCACUCUUCCAGAGGACCUGGGUUCAAUUCCCAGCACCUACA
This is a non-coding RNA of Cricetulus griseus (Chinese hamster), 73 nucleotides long. The record is from Rfam. NCBI's taxonomy places the organism in Eukaryota, Metazoa, Chordata, Mammalia, Rodentia, Cricetidae.